RNAcentral lists this long non-coding RNA (8061 nucleotides) under Brassica napus (rape). Its description in RNAcentral is "long non-coding RNA (BNAP_LNC001857)". The record is from RNAcentral. Lineage: Eukaryota; Viridiplantae; Streptophyta; Magnoliopsida; Brassicales; Brassicaceae.
UCUUAUACUCCACGAAACAACCUUCAAGCAGCAACGCGCCGCCGGACGCGCCCCCGCAGAGACUUUGUAGUAUGCGAGCAGCUUGCGCGACGCAUCUAGCGCAAUCAUCGGAACGUGUGGAGAGGUCGCUGCGGCAGUGGUGCAUCCCGUGGACGGUUUUGCCGUAGGUUCCGACAGUGAAAUGGUCGUAUGUAAAGAUAUUAGCUGAGUUUACGAGGGAGGUGAGUAGCGAGUUGACAUUUGAGUCGUAAGAUGAUCCGGGAAGGUACUUGGAGCAAAAAGACGAUCCUCGAAAGUAGUUUGGUUGCGUACAAUGGUGGUAGUAAAGAAAAGUAUUGUCGGAAGGAGAUGAGAAGUUUCUGAUAAGAGAUGCGGCUGCGAUGACGACGGAGAUGGCAAUAAUUGUGUUUAUCGGUGACAUGACGUUCUCUUUCGCUAAUGUGCUGCUUUCGAGUGUUUUAGAAAAUAUUUAAGUAAUUAUGAGAUAAUGGCAAGCAACUCGUUAUUCUUUGGUGGCUUUUCUAUAUAAGUAAAUAAAUAAUUUUCAGAAAAUUAUUAAAUUACAUGACAUCUCACCAACUUACACGAUUAUGAAAGUGUUUCAACUACAAAAGUAGUCAUCGGAACUAAAAAAAUAAUAAUCAAAUUAAAAUAUCAAGUUUCUGAUUUAAUAAAAGGUUAGAGAGGUGAUGCUAAUGGAGGAAGGAUCGAAAUGGAGAUGGAUAUUGUUCUACCAAAAGUACAACAACGUUAUGAAUGCAACUUAAAAAACUAUAAUAAUUACUUUAAAUGAAAAUUGAGAGAAGUAGUAUUACAUCACUUACAAAAUUGACAUAAAUGUUAAUAUCAUUUCAUAGAAUUGAUAUAUAUUGAUAUCAUUUAAAUAAUUGAUGCAAAUAGUUGUCAUUUUUGCAUCAAUUAUUAACAAAAUGAUGCAAAUUAUUUGUAUCAUCACUUUCAGAGUCAUUUAAAUAAGUGAUGCAAAUUUAUUUUACAUCAUUUAACACUGAUGCAAAUAUUUAAAAUAACUGAUGUUAAACAAUCAUUUUUUUUAGUGUGAGUAUAUAAAUAAAUGGGCUGUUUAAAAGUUAAAGAAUUAAUGCUUUUGAAAUUAUUAGAGGGUUAAAGUGUGCUGGGAGAAAAUUAAACUUUAAAAUAAAUUAAAACCACAACAGCUUUAAAAGAUUAAACUCUAAUCAUGGUUUUUAGUUUGGCAAUAGGACAACAAUAAAAGCUGUGAAUUACAUUCAACUCCUCUUGUUGUAGACUUGUAGUAUGUCAUAUGGAAGAGUUCCCUUUGGAGAUUUGGAAAUAGACAAGUAUAAACAUUCUUUUAUAAAUAAUUUAGGAUGGUUAGUUUAGUUUUUCUUUCAAAACUUAAAAUAUUUACAAAACUGGUCUUUUAAAAAUAAAUUAGAAAGUGAUAUCAAAUUUGUGAAAAAAUUUCCAAAUUUUAAUUUAAAUAUUUAACGUUAUGAAUUAUCUAAUCUUUCUUCAAAUAGCCAUGUUCGCAUUGUAAAGAUCUUAUUCGACAUAAGCUUUCAUAACAUCAAAGCCGAGAUCAUUCACACGGUUGCUCAUAAUACGAAUAUGCAAAAAAAAAAAUAGCAUAUCUUAACUUAAUAUGGAUAGGAUGUAUAAGUUAUUUUCUUAAUUAUCCAUUUGAUCCAAACUUUUCUAUAUAAACUCACAUAUUAACUAAUUAAAACAGCUCAAAGAUAAAUCACUAGUUGAAAUAAAAUUUUGAGAAUAAUAGUAAGAAUUUUUCGUCAAUUCUGCUCAGUUUUAUAUUCACGAGAGAAAAAGAUCAUACACUAUUUUUAACAUAACAAUAGCAAAAAAAUACAAAACGUAGGUCAAUAGUGAUUUAAGUUUAGAUAGUACAUAUGAUGUCUUCUGAUAAAAGAGGUUCCUUUGGGUGGCCACGUGCUUAGCCCGUAUCCCUUUCUUAAACUCUACAUUGAAAAAACAUUUAUCAUAUAUAAAUCUUUUAACUAAAUUAUAUAUUAGAAGAAACUCAUGCAUAAGAGAGAAUGUUGAAUAAGUUAGACUGUGGUUACCAUUUUUAGACAAAAUAUUACAUGUGAAAAAAAAUUUAUACUUUCACAUGUAAAUUUUUUUUACCAAUCAAAGAUAUUUUAAUUCAUUUUUAUUUACUUUAGUAACUUUAGUCACUGUGAUUCCCCCAUUUUCUCUCUUUCACUCCCACCUUUUAUGCUUCUUCCUUUUUUAUAGAAAUUACCAGCACAGGCUCACAGCUUUAUAAUCAUUCUAUGACUUUCUCUUAUUAUUUCCAAAAUUAAUAUUCGACCUUUAAAAAAGAAACCAAACAGAGAAGGCUUUAUAGUUACCUUGGCCGAUGGAUCCACUUGACGAGUAACCAACGUAGCACUUGGCUAAGUAAACGUCACUCCAAGUGCUUGUUCCGCAAAACGGUUGAAGUUUCAGCCGUUGGAUCGCUUCCAUCAAACAGUCUUGACAAUCCGUUGCACUGAGAUCUCCGGUGCACUGCGCUACAGCUUGCGCUUUCCCUGACCUCUCCACUCUGUAGGACGUACCACUACUUGCAACCACGUCCACCAACACCUUAGCCUGAGUCAACUCGUCCGACUUAUACUUAUACCCAGCCGGUUUUCCGCAACUCAUAACCAUAGCCGUCGUAUCCGCCACUCCAAAGAACAUAACGUUAUCGUACUUCACUAAGCAGCCUUCGAGCUGUAAAGCGCAGCCGCUCUCACCAAAGCUGUCACUUCGGAGCAGGCUAACAGCUUGCGUGACACAACUAACGCACUCACUGGAGGAGAGAUCACCCCGGCACUGGUGUAGUCCGUAGUUUCCGUUGACGGUGAGGUUGUUGUAUGUGUAGAUAGAAGCUGAGUUUACGAACAUGUUGAGUAGCGAGUCGACAUUUGACCUGGAAGACGAUCCUGGAAAGUACUUUGGUGGAGAGCAGUAGUGGUAGUAGACUAACGGCUCUACGGUGGGAAAUGCAAAAUUUGUGAGAAGAUAUACGGCUGCGAUGACGACGGAGAUCGAGAUAAUUGCUAUUGUCGCUGACAUGAUCACUUUCGCCGAUGUGUUGCCUUUUGGCCUUUGGGUGUAUAUGUCUGUAUCACAAAAUAUGAGCAUGCAUGCAUGAGAAAGGGGCAGGCAAUUCUAUAUGCUCAGUGCGUUGAGACAUAUAUCCUUAGUGAAGUCUUUGCAAUACGUUAUUCGGUUACAUAAAAUAUAUGAAAAAUUGAUAAAGUGGCAGGCAUCUCUUUAUGUUCGGUGCGUUAAUAUAUGCAUAUACAUAUAUCAUUAUGAAGCAUUUGCAAUACGUUAUUAGGUUAUAAUAUAUAAAAUAUUCUUAGCAUUCGUACCAGAAAAGGUUAUACAAAUAUAUGAAAACAUGAUAAAGUGGCAGGCAUCUCUUUAUGCUCGGUGAAUUAAUAUAUGCAUUAGACAUUUAUCAUUAUGAAGCAUUUGCAUAACUUUAUAUGGCUAUAUAAAAUAUAACAUUCGUACCAAGGAAAGGUUAUAAAAACAUAUGAAAACUUGAUAAAAGUGGCAGGCAUCUCUUUAUGCUCAGUGUGUAUAAUAUAUGUCAAUGAAAGAAACAUUAGCAAUCGAUUAUUAAUUCAUAAAAUAUAUGAAACACAUAAAUACAUCAUUAUAUAACUGGUAGGCAGCUCCUUAUGCUCGGUAUAUCAUUAUGAAAACAUUCGCAACAGAGUUUUAGAUUGUAUAAAAUAUAUGGAAACUGCUUAAUUAAUCUAACUAGUUGGUAACUAUCCCUCCAUGAGAAAUUUCAAAAAAACAAACUAUCCAUCCAUGAGGGGUUUUCUAUAUAAAUUAAUAUAUUACAAAAUCUCACCAUAACAUUAGUUUUAAACACACUGAAAAUUAAUAUUUCCUCUAUUUCUGAAAGAUUAAAAUUUAAAAAAAAAUAUUUUAAAUAAGAUAUAUGUUUAAAGUUCGUAUAUAAUUUUUUUAAUUAAUAAUAUUAAAUUAUAAAUUUUGAAAAUGCUGAUUUUAAUUACUGAAAUACCAUUAUAUUUAAAUAAUUAGACAUAAAUAACCAUAAAUUUAUGCAUUUAUAAUAUUAAUAUAUUGUUUCAAUAUGUGAAACGCCAAAAAAAACGAUACAACUUUUUAAAAAGAGGGAGUAUAACUUUGUUGAUAAUAUUCAAUAUUUACUUCAUUAGGUCUAUAAUAACAAAUGUCAAACAUCUGGAGUAUCAAACAAGUAUGCAUGACUUUCAACAACUUGCACGAUUUUAGAACUGUUAUAAUACUAUAUCAUGAGGAAUCGAAAUAAUUUAGUAACAAUAAAGAUCAACUUGCUGAAGUAAAAAGGUUUAACAGGUGGGUGACUAAUGGAGGAAGAAUCAUUUCUGAAGAUGGACAUUGUUUGACCAAAAUUACAGGAACAAAGUUGUGAUUGCAUUAACUUGAUUUGGUAAUUUUGUAGUAUGCGAGCAGCUUGCGCGACGCAUCUAGCGCAAUCAUCGGAACGUGUGGAGAGGUCGCUGCGGCAGUGGUGCAUCCCGUGGACGGUUUUGCCGUAGGUUCCGACAGUGAAAUGGUUGUAUGUAAAGACAUUAGCUGAGUUUACGAUUGAUGCAGCAGCAUCCGAGUAGCUUCAACGUCAAGUUUCCUUUUCAAGUUAUUUCCUUUUUACUUAGGGUUUAUGUUUUGCCUUUUCUAUUAGGUUAAGGAUUUUAAUGACGGUUUAAGAGUUCUAUAUAAAGAACUCUCUUAUGACUUUUGUAAGAUACGCUUUGGAUAAUUAAUAAACUAGCUUUGAGCUUUAUACCUUGAUAGAGAUUUGAUUCAAUUCAUCUUGUUCGAGAAGCCUUGGAAGAGAUUCGAUUAAAUUCAUCUUCUUCAAGAAGCAGGUCUCUAGAGUUUUCAAUCGAAAACCCUAGAUUGAGCUGAUAUCUUGUUCGUACCCUCCAUCAGGUUGGUAUCAGAGCAAAACAACUAUCACACCAUCAUGCCUCGCACGCGCCAGGAAACGAAAGCAGAAAUUCAAGAACCUAAUAUGGCACAGAUGCAGGAGCAACUUGCCCAGCUUACUCAAGCGAUGCAAGCCCUAGUCGCUCAACGCAAAACUGAUCCAGCCAUCGCACACGAAGAAGACAGGAACUACGAAAGCAAGUUGAAGAACUAAUUACUCGAGGUUUCUUACGGGAGAGCAUGAGUCCUUGCGCCGUUCCAGCCCUAUUAGUUCCAAAGAAGGAUGGUUCGUGGCGUAUGUGUGUGGAUAGUCGUGCGGUGAAUAAAAUAACCGUUCGAUAUCGUUUCCCAAUUCCUCGCCUAGAUGACCUUCUUGAUCAAAUCGGGACAGCAAGGAUAUUCUCUAAGCUGGAUUUAAAAAGCGGUUACCACCAGAUUCGUAUUCGUGAAGGAGAUGAAUGGAAAACAGCUUUCAAAACCCGUGAAGGACUUUUUGAGUGGACGGUAAUGCCGUUUGGCUUAUCUAACGCACCAAGCACGUUUAUGAGAGUGAUGAAUCAGGCUCUUCGUCCCUUCAUUGGCAAAUUCGUCGUUGUUUACUUCGAUGAUAUCUUAAUCUUCAGCCUCACCAUGGAGGAUCAUAUGAUACACCUGCGGGAAGUCCUCCUUGUUCUUCGACGAGAUAAACUUUUUGCAACACUAAAAAAAUGUGCUUUCGGUUCUGCACACGUCCACUUCUUGGGAUACAUUGUUUCAGAGAAGGGCCUUUCCGUCGACCCUGCAAAAGUAUCCGCCAUCAAGACAUGGCCAGAACCACAUACUAUCACCGAAGCACGGAGCUUUCAUGGGCUUGCAUCUUUUUAUCGACGUUUUGUUCCUCAGUUUAGUGCUAUCAUGGCACCUUUGACUAACUGUAUUCGCGAGGGAGCUUUUUUAUGGACACCGGCUGCUACUACUGCUUUCAACAUCAUCAAAGACAAACUUAGUUCAGCACCUAUCUUGGCUUUACCAGACUUUACGACGGUAUUUGAACUCCACUGCGACGCGUCUAAAAGUGGGAUUGGCGCUGUCCUUAGCCAACGAAACCGGCCGAUCGCAUUCUUUAGCGAGAAGAUAUCUGGUGCGCGUUUUCGUUAUAGUACGUACGACAUCGAGUUCUAUGCUAUUGUGCAAGCAAUCAAGCACUGGAGGCAUUACUUGUUCCACAAGGAAUUUGUACUUUACACUGAUCAUGACGCCCUAAAGCAUCUUAGCACUCAAGAUAAAGUAUCUGCUCGACAUGCCUCUUGGAUCGCCUAUCUACAACAGUUUACAUUCGUGAUCAAGCACACCUCGGGAACUAGCAACCGCGUAGCUGACGCCCUGAGUCGUCGACACUCUCUCCUCUCCGUCCUUCAUGUCUCGGUCCCUGGAUUUAGUUCGUUUAUGGACCUAUACCCGACCGAUAAGUUUUUUGGCCCAAUUUGGACUGCCGUUUCUGCUGGUCCAUCCUUACCGUACUCGAUCCAUGAUGGUUUCUUAUUCCGGGAAAACCGUCUUUGUGUUCCUGAUUGUAGUCUUCGGUUGCGACUUAUUUCCGAGCUGCAUAAUGAAGGUCACAUCGGACGAGAUCGAACCAUUCACCUUGUUUCUGCGUCGUAUUUCUGGCCGGCGCUGCGAAGAGACGUGGAACGUUUUGUGGAGCGUUGUGUUACUUGUCAAACGUCCAAAGGUCAAGCUUCCAAUGCUGGUUUGUACCUUCCUUUACCAAUACCAACUCAACCGUGGACAGAUAUUAGUAUGGAUUUUGUCAUGGGAUUGCCUCGGACUCAAAAAGGGUUCGAUUCAAUUUUUGUCGUGGUAGAUCGGUUUUCAAAAAUGGUUCACUUUAUACCCUGCAAACGUACAACUGAUGCAGUUGAAGUCGCCACUUUGUUCUUCCGAGAGGUGUACCGGCUUCAUGGAUUACCAUUGUCGAUUGUCUCCGACAGAGAUUCUCGCUUUCUUAGUCACUUUUGGCGCUCAUUAUGGAAGCUCUUCGAUACAAGUCUUGAUAUGAGUUCUGCGUAUCAUCCUCAAACUGACGGCCAAACAGAGGUCACGAAUCGUUCUCUUGGUAACUUACUACGCAGCUUGGUCGGAUCAUCCAUCAAGUCAUGGGAUUCAAAGCUUCCCCAGGCUGAGUUUGCCCAUAACCACGCCGUUAACCGAAGCUCGAAGUUCAGUCCGUUUCAGAUCAUUUAUGGAAUCGUUCCUCGUGCUCCGCUAGACCUCUCCACUUUGCCCGAUCGUGUUCGUCUUCACGGUGGAGCUGAAGCAUUUAUGGAGAACGUGCUCGAGACACACGAGCAAACUACAUCCAACUUAGAGACAUCGACUCAAAAAUAUAAAGCUGCGGCAGACACCCAUAGACGGCGUCUCGUCUUUGAGGUCGGUGAUUUGGUCUGGGCAGUUCUUACUAGAGAUCGUAUGCCUGCACACUCGUAUAACAAGUUAAAAGCAAAGAAGAUUGGUCCUUUGGAGGUUCUUGAGCGUAUCAAUGACAAUGCUUAUCGUCUCCAACUCCCCGCUGAUAUAACUACUUCUGAUGUUUUUAAUGUCAAGUAUCUCUCUCGCUAUUUUCCUCCCGAGCAGCCCUCUGAUUCGCGGUCGAAUCCUCUUCACCCCGGGGGACCUGAUGCAGCAGCAUCCGAGUAGCUUCAACGUCAAGUUUCCUUUUCAAGUUAUUUCCUUUUUACUUAGGGUUUAUGUUUUGCCUUUUCUAUUAGGUUAAGGAUUUUAAUGACGGUUUAAGAGUUCUAUAUAAAGAACUCUCUUAUGACUUUUGUAAGAUACGCUUUUGAUAAUUAAUAAACUAGCUUUGAGCUUUAUACCUUGAUAGAGAUUUGAUUCAAUUCAUCUUGUUCGAGAAGCCUUGGAAGAGAUUCGAUUAAAUUCAUCUUCUUCAAGAAGCAGGUCUCUAGAGUUUUCAAUCGAAAACCCUAGAUUGAGCUGAUAUCUUGUUCGUACCCUCCAUCAACGAUCGAGAGGUGAGUAGCGUGUUGACAUUUGAGUCGUAAGAUGAUCCGGGAAGGUACUUGGAGAAAAAAGACGAUCCUCGAAAGUAGUUUGGUUGCGUACAAUGGUGGUAGUAAAGAAAAG